Molecule: ribosomal RNA, 465 nt
Filed under: uncultured bacterium
Lineage: Bacteria
Description: partial 16S ribosomal RNA
Rfam family: Bacterial small subunit ribosomal RNA
Source: RNAcentral
GACGAACGCUGGCGGCGUGCUUAACACAUGCAAGUCGAACGGAAAGGCCCCUUUGGGGGUACUUGAGGGGCGAACGGGGGAGUAACACGGGAGUAACCUGCGCUUGACUUCGAGAUAACUGCAGGAAACUGGGGCUAAUACCGGAAAGGAAUCCUUGCUGCAUGGGGGGGGUUGGAAAGCUUGGGCGGUUUUGGAUGGACUCGCGGCUUAUUAGCUUGUUGGUGGGGUAGUGGCUUACCAAGGCUUUGACGGGUAGCUGGCCAGUGAGGGUGAGCGGCUACAUAGAGUCUGACGUGCGGCCCAAGCUCCUAAGGGAGGCAGCAGUGGGGAAUCUUGCACCAUGGGCAGCAGCCUGGUGAAGCAACGCCGCGUGCGGGAUGACGGCCUUCGGGUUGUAAACCACUUUCAGCAGGGGCGAAGCUUGUGGUGACGGUACCUGCAGAAGAAGCACCGGCUAACUACGUG